UACGUAGGGUGCGAGCGUUGUCCGGAAUUAUUGGGCGUAAAGGGCUCGUAGGCGGUCUGUUGCGUCAGGAGUGAAAACUCGGGGCUUAACCCCGAGCCUGCUUCUGAUACGGGCAGACUAGAGGUAUGCAGGGGAGAACGGAAUUCCUGGUGUAGCGGUGAAAUGCGCAGAUAUGACAUAGAACACCAAUUGCGUAGGCAGCUUACUACACGAUCAUUGACGCUGAGGCACGAAAGCGUGGGGAGCAAACAGG
This 253-nucleotide ribosomal RNA is filed under the name uncultured bacterium. RNAcentral's name for it is "partial 16S ribosomal RNA". It matches the Rfam family "Bacterial small subunit ribosomal RNA", at positions 524 to 776 of the family's 1533-position model. The record is from RNAcentral.